AGAACGAACGCUGGCGGCAUGCCUAAUACAUGCAAGUCGAACGAGAUCUUCGGGUCUAGUGGCGCACGGGUGCGUAACGCGUGGGAAUCUACCCUUGGGUUCGGAAUAACAGUUGGAAACGACUGCUAAUACCGGAUGAUGACGAAAGUCCAAAGAUUUAUCGCCCAGGGAUGAGCCCGCGUAGGAUUAGCUAGUUGGUGAGGUAAAGGCUCACCAAGGCUACGAUCCUUAGCUGGUCUGAGAGGAUGAUCAGCCACACUGGGACUGAGACACGGCCCAGACUCCUACGGGAGGCAGCAGGUAGGAAUAUGGACGAAUGGGGCAACCCUGAUCCAGCAAUGCCGGCGUGAGUGAUGAACGGUCCUUAAGGGUUGUAAACGUCCUUCGUUUUUAACCCGGAGUAACGUUAGAUUAA
Molecule: ribosomal RNA, 415 nt
Filed under: uncultured soil bacterium
Lineage: Bacteria
Description: bacterial SSU rRNA
Rfam family: Bacterial small subunit ribosomal RNA
Source: RNAcentral